RNAcentral lists this long non-coding RNA (588 nucleotides) under Homo sapiens (human). RNAcentral's name for it is "HSALNT0319718". Lineage: Eukaryota; Metazoa; Chordata; Mammalia; Primates; Hominidae. The record is from RNAcentral.
CUUUGCUUAAUAAAUCUUGUGGGGUGGUUAUUUGUGUGUCUCAUCCAAUUCUUUGUUCAUAACACCAAGAACCUGGAACUCCCAACUUCCAAUCUGGUAACAUAUUUUGGUGAGCCAGCCAGGAGGGUCAAGCCUGCAAUACCUAAAGCUCCAGACCUGGAACCCAAAGCUCCCAUCAGUCGCUACCCUGUGAACCUGUGGAGGAUCUGAAGUACCUGUUUAAAAGGCAUCCAAAAGAUAGAAUCUAUCAAGCUACAAAUGGCUAUGUUGCCUGAAGCCCCAGACAUCAUCCUACAAGAAAUAAGUCCAGACUUCUUAAUUUCCCCCUGGAUAGAGCAGGGUCUUGUUGAACUGGCUAGUGCUUCAACAACAAUGCUAAAUAAUAAAGGAUCUAACAAUAUUUCUGCUUUAAAUUGAUUUCAGAGGGAAUGUCUCUAACGUUGCAAUUCGAUUCAGUUGGAAAGACAUGGUUAAUGCUUAAGAGAGCCAGAAGAACCCAAAUCUUUGAACACACUUAGAGCAACCACAAACUGCUGUUAGAAAACUAAUGUUAAUGUUUAAGAAGUACUUGUUAUUUUAGUUUACCUU